GAUGAACGCUGGCGGCGUGCCUAAUACAUGCAAGUCGAGCGAAGCGGGGACGGGUGAGUAACACGUGGAUAACCUCCUAUAAGACUGGGAUAACUUCGGGAAACCGGCGCUAACACGGAUAAUUAUCGGUUGCUCAGCGCUGCAUUAGCUAGUUGGUAAGGUAACGGCUUACAAAGGAAACGAUGCAUAGCCUAACUGAGAGGGUGAUCGGCCACACUGGAACUGAUACACGGUCCAGACUCCUACGGGAGGCAGCAGUAGGGAAUCUUCCGCAAUGGGCGAAAGCCUGACGGAGCAACGCCGCGUGAGUGAUGAAGGUCUUCGGAUCGUAAAACUCUGUUAUUAGGGAAGCGGUACCUAAUCAGAAAGCCACGGCUAACUACGUGCCAGCAGCCGCGGUAAUUC
Molecule: ribosomal RNA, 405 nt
Filed under: uncultured bacterium
Lineage: Bacteria
Description: partial 16S ribosomal RNA
Rfam family: Bacterial small subunit ribosomal RNA
Source: RNAcentral